This 439-nucleotide ribosomal RNA is filed under the name uncultured bacterium. RNAcentral's name for it is "partial 16S ribosomal RNA". It matches the Rfam family "Bacterial small subunit ribosomal RNA", at positions 339 to 795 of the family's 1533-position model. The record is from RNAcentral.
CUACGGGUCGCUGCAGUGGGGAAUAUUGCACAAUGGGGGAAACCCUGAUGCAGCAACGCCGCGUGGAGGAUGACGCAUUUCGGUGUGUAAACUCCUUUUAUAUAGGAAGAUAAUGACGGUACUAUAUGAAUAAGCACCGGCUAACUCCGUGCCAGCAGCCGCGGUAAUACGGAGGGUGCAAGCGUUACUCGGAAUCACUGGGCGUAAAGCGCGCGCAGGCGGUUUGAUAAGUUGGAUGUGAAAGCCUACGGCUCAACCGUAGAACUGCAUCCAAAACUGUCAAACUAGAGUCUGGGAGGGGAAGAUGGAAUUAGUUGUGUAGGGGUAAAAUCCGUAGAGAUAACUAGGAAUACCAAAAGCGAAGGCGAUCUUCUGGAACAGUACUGACGCUGAGGCGCGAAAGCGUGGGGAGCAAACAGGAUUAGAUACCCGCGUAGUC